UAUGGAAUUGCCAGCCGCCGCAGUAAUACGUAUGGAGCAAGCGUUAUCCGGAUUUACUGGGUGUAAAGGGAGUGUAGGUGGCCAGGCAAGUCAGAAGUGAAAGCCCGGGGCUCAACCCCGGGACUGCUUUUGAAACUGCAGGGCUAGAGUGCAGGAGGGGCAAGUGGAAUUCCUAGUGUAGCGGUGAAAUGCGUAGAUAUUAGGAGGAACACCAGUGGCGAAGGCGGCUUGCUGGACUGUAACUGACACUGAGGCUCGAAAGCGUGGGGAGCAAACAGG
RNAcentral lists this ribosomal RNA (279 nucleotides) under [Lactobacillus] rogosae. Its description in RNAcentral is "Lactobacillus rogosae partial 16S ribosomal RNA". It matches the Rfam family "Bacterial small subunit ribosomal RNA", at positions 498 to 776 of the family's 1533-position model. The record is from RNAcentral. Lineage: Bacteria; Bacillati; Bacillota; Clostridia; Lachnospirales; Lachnospiraceae.